This 119-nucleotide ribosomal RNA is filed under the name Pteropus alecto (black flying fox). Lineage: Eukaryota; Metazoa; Chordata; Mammalia; Chiroptera; Pteropodidae. The record is from RNAcentral.
GCCUAUGGUCGUGCCACCCUGAACAAGCCUGAUCCCAUCUGAUCUCAGAAGUUAAGCAAGGUCGGGCCUGGCUAGUACUUGGAUGGGAGAACACCUAAGAAGACCAAGUGCUAUAGGCG